UUUUUCCUUCAAUUACUACAGUAUUAUGAUUCCAUAGAGCACAAUUUCUGCUGCAUGCACAGUCAGUAAUUGAAUUAUAGAGGAAAGCAUCUAUGGAGAUAUGUAAAAUCAAGAUUUCCAGCUUUUUAUGCAAGUGUUUUGCCCAUGGAAGCGAAGAAGCAGCUGUACUAGCUUAAGGCAGCAGAGAUUCUGCUAAAAAUAACACAGGCUUCCUUGUACUAUUUUUUGUCAAUGCCUUCAUUUCUUCUUCAGAAGCUGGAUGCAUCUGGCAGCCAGGAAGGGACUCCUAUCUCCUUUGAAUUUUAAUGUUGCUGAGAAACAGGGAGAAUGAGAUUGGGGGUUAUAUCUACAAUCUAAAAGGAAAAAAAACACAUCACAAAUUUCUUUGCAUUUUCCUGAGAAUUACUUAAAAAUCUUAACAACAAAACUUCUAAGAGAAGAAUGUGACAUUCUAUAUUUGAAAAUGGAUCAACACACCUUCUUGUGAGCAAUUUGGUGCUCCUUUACUCAUUCUGCAGGCACUGCCUUAUUCUUCACAUGGAUGACUCAUUCUCUUUCAGAACUGACAGGCCUAAAUGGGAUACAAGCAGCAACAAUGCUACGUUUAUCAAAUGUCAUCUUAUAAAGCGGCAAAGCAGCAGUAACAGUCUUACAUAGAGGGUUGGGAUGCUUGCUUCUUUGGGCUGCGCAGACAUACCCACAGAAACAGAGGGAGCCAGACCGAAACAGGAAGCGUGAGGCAGGAGAAAGCAAGGUCACACAAGCUGGGAAAGGGACUCCAUGAGAAAGAGACAACUCAGCAUGCAAUAGCCUGCAUGAGGCAGGGGACACUGAUGAUGCCUUAGGACUCCCAAGGGAAGGGUGAUCUAGAAAGUGGCAUUGCAGUUAAGAUAUUUGUUGUUUUAUAUGAUCUGUACUCUCCUGUGCUUUACGUGGUUAAGUUAAAGAGCAUUAAGGUGUUAAACUGUGGGCAAAGUGUCUCAAACACUUCACAACUACUGCAUGCAAAGAAAGUUAAAUUGUACCCCAGAAGCUUCACACCUUUCGGGUGGAGAUCUGGGAAGGGUAUGUUUUAACUGUGGGGGAGACUGAAGGGUCAGCCCUGUGCCCAGUGGGGAUAGGAGCUGGACAGUGGGUUCCAGCUCGGAAGGGAGUGUAAGACCGCAGGUCUGCACUCUGUGCUUAGGGAGCCCAAGAUUGGGGAAAAAGAAAAGGAGUACUUGUGGCACCUUAGAGACUAACCAAUUUAUUUGAGCAUGAGCUUUCGUGAGCUACAGCUCACUUCAUCAGAUGCAUACCGUGGAAACUGCAGCAGACUUUAUAUACACACAGAGAAUAUGAAACAAUACCUCCUCCCACCCCUCUGUCCUGCUGGGAAGUAACUGGACUUUGUUCAGGCUUGAGAAACUUAAAAGAGCUGGGAAUCCAGGGACACAGAGGCUUGAAUUCCCCUCAGAGCAGUCUGGUGGGUUGCCAGAAGGGAGCGCCCUGCCAGAUCUCUGAUAGAAAAUGACUACCAGCAGCACCCUGAAGUCCCCAGAAAGGAAUCACAAGCUGUUUGACUUUUCCCUACUUUCCCCAAAAAGCCUUGUAAAAUAUUGGGAGAAGAAGACUGAUGUGUAGCGGAAGAGAAGACGUGGGGCUUCCUUCAUCUGGAAAGUAGUGCUGUGCAGUGGAAGGGCCUUGGACUAGGAAUAAGAAGGCAUGGGUUCAAUUCUUGAUCUGUAACUGACCUGCGUGACUUUGGACAGGUCACUUCACCUUCCGUGCCUCUGUUUCCCCAGUGAAAAUGAUGAUUAUUUUUCCUUCUUUGUAAAUCACAGAGAUCUAUGGAAGUUAAGUGCUAUAUAAAAGCUAAGAAUUAUCUCCUUCCUCUGGAAUCCAUAUCAGAAAAUUUUUCAAAAUUUAAUGAAAAGUUUCAUUUUAAUGUUGAAUGGAUGAAAGUGAAAGUUGGAAUAUGGCAUUCCAUAUUUUUGUUCAAGUUUGCCCACCCCUUAUUGAAAUCACAGAGCAGUGAAUCUGAAAUAUAAUGUUCCAUGCUACUGCUUUUUCUGUUUUUCUUUUUAUAAAGGGAAUGCUUGAGCAAACUUGGGGAAAUGCACUUAUAGUACUAACUUCAAUACUUUUCUCAUACCUAUUAGAUUUAAAAAUAAUAUUCAUUUUCUUUCUGCUUAACAACAAGGAGAUCAAUUCUUUUCAAAGAACAGACAUGUUCAGUCUAUCAGUUUUAUCUAUAAUACUUUAAAAGCAGUUUAUAAUGAGCAUUCUGAUUUGGUUCUUAGUGUCAACCGAAGUGUCCAGAAAAUACCUUCUAUAAUAAAUGUAAACAAUUAAACCGAGUACUAAAAUGUUAUGUGAACCUUUGACUCUGAGAAAAAUGCACUCAAAAUGACUAAUACAUUGGGCUUUUGUAUUUGAAUUAUAUAACAAAUAAUCUGUGCCUGGAUGAGGGAGUGAUCUGCCCUUGCUAUGUUGUUUUGUUUUGCAAAGUGUAACUUUUAAAGAUUUAUUGGACAGUUUGUUUCAGCCAAUUGUAGGUUUUUUUUUAAAGAUUUUGCAGCUUGCUUUGUUCUCAAAAGUGUCAGCAGUUAUAAGUAAAAAAUAUAUUCAACCUGA
Long non-coding RNA from Caretta caretta (loggerhead turtle), 2616 nucleotides. RefSeq lists it as uncharacterized. NCBI's taxonomy places the organism in Eukaryota, Metazoa, Chordata, Testudines, Cheloniidae. The record is from RefSeq and is a predicted model, not a curated record.